UUUGGAUGGCAAACUAGGUCGAAAAAGAAAUAACUCAGAACUUGGACAGCGUUUCGGAAAAUAUAAAAAAAAUGAAAUCGAAAUAUGCCGAAAACAUAACAUAUAUAAGAUUCUUUUCAAUGGGAUUUGUUGGGUAAUUCUUUUUUUCUAAUAUACUACAUUUUAGAACUUUUUUUAUAUUUUUUAAAACUAUUUAUAAUUUUUGAUAUUUUUAAAAUCUAGCCAAAUAAUUCAACCGGUUCAACUUAUUUUUACUAAAUUAGACCUGUCACCAGUUAAGUGGUCAAUCCGAUCUUGAUAUCCCUAACGUUGGUUUGUACAUCGGAG
This 327-nucleotide long non-coding RNA is filed under the name Amborella trichopoda. Its description in RNAcentral is "long non-coding RNA (ATRI_LNC005269)". The record is from RNAcentral. Lineage: Eukaryota; Viridiplantae; Streptophyta; Magnoliopsida; Amborellales; Amborellaceae.